UACGGGGGGAGCAAGCGUUGUUCGGAUUUACUGGGCGUAAAGGGCGCGUAGGCGGUAGCACAAGUCAGUUGUGAAAUCUCCGGGCUUAACUCGGAAAGGUCAACUGAUACUGUGCGACUAGAGUGCAGAAGGGGCAACUGGAAUUCUCGGUGUAGCGGUGAAAUGCGUAGAUAUCGAGAGGAACACCUGCGGCGAAGGCGGCUCUCUGGGACGGUACUGACGCUGAGACGCGAAAGCGUGGGGAGCGAACAGG
Molecule: ribosomal RNA, 253 nt
Filed under: uncultured bacterium
Lineage: Bacteria
Description: partial 16S ribosomal RNA
Rfam family: Bacterial small subunit ribosomal RNA
Source: RNAcentral